This 400-nucleotide ribosomal RNA is filed under the name uncultured bacterium. RNAcentral describes it as "bacterial SSU rRNA". It matches the Rfam family "Bacterial small subunit ribosomal RNA", at positions 355 to 747 of the family's 1533-position model. The record is from RNAcentral.
UGGGGAAUAUUGGACAAUGGGCGCAAGCCUGAUCCAGCCAUGCCGCGUGAGUGAAGAAGGCCUUCGGGUUGUAAAGCUCUUUAAGCGGGGAGGAAGGUUCGCAACCUAAUACGUUGUGGAAUUGACGUUACCUGCAGAAUAAGCACCGGCUAACUCUGUGCCAGCAGCCGCGGUAAUACAGAGGGUGCGAGCGUUAAUCGGAAUUACUGGGCGUAAAGCGUGCGUAGGCGGUUACUUAAGUUGGGUGUGAAAUCCCCGGGCUUAACCUGGGAACUGCACCCAAGACUGGGUAACUCGAGUCUGGGAGAGGGUGGUGGAAUUUCCGGUGUAGCGGUGAAAUGCGUAGAUAUCGGAAGGAACAUCAGUGGCGAAGGCGACCGCCUGGCCUAAGACUGACGCU